CGUAGGUGGCGAGCGUUGUCCGGAUUUAUUGGGUUUAAAGGGUGCGUAGGCGGUCCUAUAAGUCAGUGCUGAAAUAUCCCGGCUUAACCGGGAGGGUGGCAUUGAUACUGCAGGACUUGAGUAAAGUUGAGGUUGGCGGAAUUGACGGUGUAGCGGUGAAAUGCUUAGAUAUCGUCAAGAACACCGAUAGUGUAGACAGCUAACUAAGCUUUAACUGACGCUGAGGCACGAAAGUGUGGGGAUCAAACAGGAUUAGAUACCCUGGUAGUCCACACUGUAAACGUUGAUUACUCGAUGUUGGCGAUACACUGUCAGCGUCUUAGCGAAAGCGAUAAGUAAUCCACCUGGGGAGUACGCCGGCAACGGUG
RNAcentral lists this ribosomal RNA (368 nucleotides) under uncultured organism. RNAcentral's name for it is "bacterial SSU rRNA". It matches the Rfam family "Bacterial small subunit ribosomal RNA", at positions 526 to 896 of the family's 1533-position model. The record is from RNAcentral.